GAUGGAGGUGUUGGGAACAGCCCCAGAGCAUGAGGAUGUGGGGCACAAGGAGUUCCCCAGCUCUGAUCCAGCCUUGGGACUGCUGGCUGUUCAUGCAGCUGGCAGGGAUGUGGUCCUGCUGCAGCCCAGGGGGCUCUUGCAGCUGUGCAGCACUGCAGAGUGUGCAGCCCCCUGCCUUUAGCUGCAGGAACAACUCAAAACUUCAGAGGAGAUAGAACUGAGGGUGAGGGCAGAGCUAGGAGCAUCUCCACCUGCAUGCAGCCUGAAGGGUGUUCACAGGGAUCGGCACUAAGGUGAUGCAGGCUGCAUCCCUGAUUUGUGUGGGCAGCUGGAGGCAGCAACUGCUGCUCCCUGAGCCAGCAGCCAUCAGGGUAAAACAACUUCCUCCAAACAGAAGCCCCAGCUGCUUUGUCCCCAGGCUCCCAGUAACAGGGGGAGUGAACCCCUGCACCCCAGCCAGCAUCCGCACUGGGUAAUUACGUUGUCUCCCUAAAUUCCCCCUGCAGUUUCAAGUGGAUGUGGGAUUCUCCUUCACUUCCAGUCCUAAUCUGUUGCGUAGCAUGGCUGUGCACCGCUGCGCGGUUGCUGCCUUCUAGCCCAGAGGUGGCUGCAUUGCAGUGGUGGGUGAGUGACUCCUGCUUUUGUUUCUAGCUCAUGAGACACUUUGAGGCCCCACAGGGUGCUGGGGAGCUGUGGCUAGGGCACGCCGGGCUGGCCGUGCAGCAGGGCAGAUCCCAGGCUGGUGCUGUUUCCAGCAGGUCCCAACAGACCCUGCGUCUCCUCUCUGCUCUCUCUCUGCAGCCUGCGGGGAGCAUAUCGCUGGAGCAGUGCCUGACCCCACAUCUGUCCCAAACACCUCUCACUGCAUCCCUCUUCUUCCCAUCCUGGGCAGGCAGACUGUCCUGAAACAGGAAAGUGCUGAGCAGAAGGCAGGUUUCCCCAUUGAAACAUCCCUGGGGACGGGAGGAGGAAACAUUGUGCUGCCAGUGCCCACUGCAGCUCCCAGCUCUCCCAGACCCUAUGAGCAGACAGCAGCCAGUGAGGAUGUGCCGGACGCCAGCC
Non-coding RNA from Meleagris gallopavo (turkey), 1062 nucleotides. Lineage: Eukaryota; Metazoa; Chordata; Aves; Galliformes; Phasianidae. The record is from RefSeq and is a predicted model, not a curated record.